Molecule: ribosomal RNA, 302 nt
Filed under: Salmonella enterica subsp. enterica serovar Senftenberg
Lineage: Bacteria; Pseudomonadati; Pseudomonadota; Gammaproteobacteria; Enterobacterales; Enterobacteriaceae
Description: partial 23S ribosomal RNA
Rfam family: Bacterial large subunit ribosomal RNA
Source: RNAcentral
CGUGCUAAUCUGCGAUAAGCGCCGGUAAGGUGAUAUGAACCGUUAUAACCGGCGAUUUCCGAAUGGGGAAACCCAGUGUGAUUCGUCACACUAUCAUUAACUGAAUCCAUAGGUUAAUGAGGCGAACCGGGGGAACUGAAACAUCUAAGUACCCCGAGGAAAAGAAAUCAACCGAGAUUCCCCCAGUAGCGGCGAGCGAACGGGGAGGAGCCCAGAGCCUGAAUCAGCAUGUGUGUUAGUGGAAGCGUCUGGAAAGGCGCGCGAUACAGGGUGACAGCCCCGUACACAAAAGCGCAUGUGCU